Molecule: small nucleolar RNA, 135 nt
Organism: Hucho hucho (huchen)
Lineage: Eukaryota; Metazoa; Chordata; Actinopteri; Salmoniformes; Salmonidae
Source: Ensembl
UGCAGCCUUGCCAAAUUCAGUGCUUCCUCUACAAUGGACUGCACUGGCCAAAAUGGCUGCCAUAGUGAAACUAGUUCAUGGGCCUCGCAUUCAUUUUCCAUGAAUGUUGGGGAUAAAUUUGUGCUAAUGACAAUU